UGGUUUUAAUUUUUGGUUCUAUCUGUUCUAAUUUUAUUCUUGCUUCUUUUCUAAAUUCUUGUUCUAUUUCUGGUUCUGAUUUUGGUUAUCUCUGGUUCUAAGUUUUUGUGUUUCCAUGAUAGGGAUAUAUCCCUUGAUGGACAAACUUUGGAGGAAGCUAAUGAAAGCUUGGAUGAAGUGGUGGCUCUUGCUAAAGACCUUCAAACUAAGAAAGUUCAAAUUAGGAGCCAAAGUUGUUGAAUCAACUUCCUCUCGAGCAAGCAUAAAGGAAGGUACAAGUGAACCUUUCGUCAUCAAAGAUAAUCGUGGAGAAUCUUACAAGAAACACUACCCUCCAUACUUGAAUGAUGAUAUACGGCGUUUGGAGAAAAUUGCAAAGGAUGAAAAAAUCCACAAGCGGCUCUCUUCCCAUGGAAUUCUUAUGUGAAGUGUGGCAGCAUUCCAAUUAAGUCAUGGACAGCAAUUACUAGCCAUGCCAAGACUUGUGUGAUAAAUGAUCACAAGCUCUAUAGCUAUUGUGCGACACAAUAACCUAUAGUCCUGCUAUUCAAUUCCAUCUACAUCCUUGUAGGAGUAUUCAACGGGCAAAAUUAUUGUUCACCUGAUGCACUCACUCCAAAGGAGAAAGCGGAGAGAAAGUACAGAUGUUGAAGACUUGUUCAUAGCUCACAUUGUUGGAAUGGACACAAUGGCUCGUGGAUUCAAGAAUGCUGCUAAGUUAAUUGAGAUAUCAGCCUGAUCCAGUAUCAGUGGUGAUGGGAGGCCCAAGCACCAUACUUGCCUAUAGAUGGAAGCAUGACAAGGAUUUCAUAGAGUUAAGUUUACAAGACAGCGAGAAAAUAGAAGGUAUUGUGCUGUGUGAAGGUGUUUAGAAGGGCCUCCAAUCCUUAUUGAGUUUGUGUAGCGGUUUUGUGAACAGUCAGAAGAAAGAUUAAAAGAUCAAAGAGAGGAGGAACUAGAGCAACAUCUGAAAGAAAGAGAUGCAACAGGGACCUGGAAGGUACCCAUCUGAAAGAGAACUAGAGCAAUGCUUGAAGGAUUCUUGGAGCCGUUGUUGUAAUAGCUGCAAAUGCUAGUGGUGCAUGGACUCCUAUUGGUGAUGUUACCACCACUAUGCUGUGGAUACAUGGUUAAAUAUCUACAGUGCAAACAAUGAAGGUACCUUUAGGGUUUGUUUGUACCUUCAGCCAUUUCUCUAGCUGUUCCAUUGGCGCUCAUGUCCCUGACUAGCGAAGUGAAUGGGAAGGGACAAGAUUCUCCAAAUGUCUUAGCUUCCGAACAGAUGGCACCUCGAGGACAGCUUGUUUUCUCAGUAGGUUUAGGGGUUUUGAUUUUUGUCCCCAUGUUCAAGGCCCUCACAGGUUUGCCUCCGUACAUGGGGAUGCUACUUGGACUUGGUGUCCUUUGGAUCUUCACUGAUGCUAUUCAUUACGGUGAAUUGGAAAGACAAAAGCUAAAAGUGCCGCAGGCUCU
This is an RNA transcript of Arachis duranensis, 1473 nucleotides long. It is a transcript of the gene named calmodulin-binding protein 60 B, with no coding region annotated. The transcript is spliced from 12 exons. The record is from RefSeq and is a predicted model, not a curated record. Lineage: Eukaryota; Viridiplantae; Streptophyta; Magnoliopsida; Fabales; Fabaceae.